This 465-nucleotide ribosomal RNA is filed under the name Vreelandella stevensii. RNAcentral's name for it is "partial 16S ribosomal RNA". It matches the Rfam family "Bacterial small subunit ribosomal RNA", at positions 338 to 795 of the family's 1533-position model. Lineage: Bacteria; Pseudomonadati; Pseudomonadota; Gammaproteobacteria; Oceanospirillales; Halomonadaceae. The record is from RNAcentral.
CCUACGGGUGGCUGCAGUGGGGAAUAUUGGACAAUGGGGGGAACCCUGAUCCAGCCAUGCCGCGUGUGUGAAGAAGGCCCUCGGGUUGUAAAGCACUUUCAGUGAGGAAGAACGCCUGGUGGUUAAUACCCAUCAGGAAAGACAUCACUCACAGAAGAAGCACCGGCUAACUCCGUGCCAGCAGCCGCGGUAAUACGGAGGGUGCGAGCGUUAAUCGGAAUUACUGGGCGUAAAGCGCGCGUAGGUGGCUUGAUAAGCCGGUUGUGAAAGCCCCGGGCUCAACCUGGGAACGGCAUCCGGAACUGUCAAGCUAGAGUGCAGGAGAGGAAGGUAGAAUUCCCGGUGUAGCGGUGAAAUGCGUAGAGAUCGGGAGGAAUACCAGUGGCGAAGGCGGCCUUCUGGACUGACACUGACACUGAGGAGCGAAAGCGUGGGUAGCAAACAGGAUUAGAUACCCUGGUAGUC